CAGUGCAUUAAUCGGAGUUUAUUUGUCGAACAAAUAGCCCUGUCCUCUUUGAUGAUGGAUUUAAGCUUUUAAAUAGUGGCUUGGUUUCACAUGCUGUUUCAAGUGACAUAAUAUGGCAUUUUUCUUGUUGUAGUAAUUAUAUAAUGUGUGUUUUAGAAGGUUUCAGCUAGCUAUAGUCCAGCAAAUUAAUCAACGAUUAGAUAUGUGUGCGUAAUGGAAAUGAAACAAAAGGUAAUUGUGUGAUAGAGUAAAAGCUUGAUCCUUUAAUAUAUCUGAUAGCUGCAAAGGUAAAGUUGAAGUUGACAAUAUGCAUCACAUACUUAUACUUUAUACCCUCAUUCAUCAUGUUUUGGGAGAUCAGAUCACCCAAUUAGUUUUGCAUUGGAUAUGAUGCUCCCUUGAAAAGUCAUGCUAUGAAUUAGCUAUACAUGUUACUGUCAUCAAUUUGUUAUUUGAUGGUAAGUCCUCAGAAGGCAUGCUCAUAUUCAGUUCCGCAUGCCAUAAUAAGCACACUUGAUCUUCUUAAUAUCUUAAAAUUUAAACAGUCCUGUAGUACAAUUGCUUUCUGAUGUUUCAGAUUGUAUAGUGCAUAUUCGUACCUGCCAUAAUUGUUAGUUCAAUAUGUGUUCAUAUAUAUAUAUAUGUCAACAGGUGAAUUGAAAGUAUAAAUCAAACUACAUUUGUUCCUUUUAUUUAGGUUGAGUUAAAUGGGGCACUUGAAACCCUGUGUGAGCAAGGAUUUGGUGCAUGGUCAUAUAGAAUGUUGGGAUUUUAUCUGCAAGCUUUUUCCAUCAUAUUUGCUUUCUUUAUUCUACAGUCUACAUCAUUCCAGGGUUGUAUACAGAAUUACAGAUUGAAUUAAAAGAAGUUCAUGAACACACCAAAUCGAACAAGCCAGAGAUAAUAAUCUGUGCCAUUCUGUACAUACUAGAACUGCCUAUUUUUACUUCAGAUACUCAGACCAAGAGAAGGAAAUUCAUGAAAGAAGAAUGAGGGAAUAAACCAAUUCUGCACCUUUUUUUUUUUUUUUUUUCUAAUUUUGUUGCAGAUUUCACUGAGUUGUAAAUCAAGUUCAUGAAUUGUUCUGUUAAUUUCAAAUUGUUCUGCGCUUUCAGCCUUUUUCUAUCCAUCCAUAUACUUAUUGUUCUGUUAAUUUGUUACAAUGGUCCGCCUAUGUGUGUCUCCCAUGAAUUCAUUUCUCUGCAUUUUUGUUACAAUGGUCACUUUAAAAGAAACAAUAUGGUUUUAAGAUGGAGGAAAGUUUGAAAUCUGUUGUCAAAUUUUUUUAAAGAAAGGUAGAAAUAACUGAUACUGAGUAUGCAACUUUUUGAAUGUGAGAGGCUCAAGUUAUUAGGAAUUUUCAAAUUUUAAAAAAAAUGGCCAUAUAGAUUUUCAUUUCAAAAACCCUAAAUUAGAUUGGCUUGCUGUUCAUUUUGCCUAUUGUCAGGCAAACUUAAAUCCAUAGUACAAUUGUAAAGAUAAACUUUUGUCAAGGAGUUUGAAUUUAUUAUCAAUUUGCAGUCCUUUGUAGAGAAACACUGGAAUGAGCAUGGAAAACCUGCUGUAGAGGUGAUGAUUCAGAAGCUGACUAGCUCCAAGUUCUUAAUUGUCAUGCCGUAGAGAAAAAAGCUGAAGCUGGAGAGUGGGCUGAAUACCAUGUGGAAGCAGUUAAAACUAAAUGGAUCCCUGCAGUCAAGGAACAGUGGUCAGUGGUGAAAGAAUUUGUUGAACCUCAACAAAGUCUAUUGAAGCUUAUACAUCAAAGGGUACAUUAGCUCCCCAUGUUAUAAAAGCAUAAGAAUUUGUUGAUCCUUACUUUCAGGAGGCAAAGAAGUUGAGCAAACCAUAUGUUGAUCACGUAGCCAUUGUUGCAAAACCUCAUGUUGAAAAAGUUAAAGAAGGUGGUUCAGGCCUACGAGAAAUUUCUCAAAUCCGCUUCCACAUAUCAUCAUAAAGUAUUGGCUUUUUGUCAUGCUGUGUAACUUUGUGAUAAUCUCUAUGGUUUUUUGUAAUGCUGACGAUCCUUAAAAACAAUAUUGUCAUGCUUUGUACUUAUACACUGGUUGUCAGGACCAUUCUCUAUGUUUUUUGUAAUGCUAAUGGUCCCUAAAAAACAAUCAACCAAAA
This is a long non-coding RNA of Rosa rugosa (rugosa rose), 2127 nucleotides long. RefSeq lists it as uncharacterized. The record is from RefSeq and is a predicted model, not a curated record. Lineage: Eukaryota; Viridiplantae; Streptophyta; Magnoliopsida; Rosales; Rosaceae. The transcript is spliced from 6 exons.